AAGAGACAGCAGCAGCCGCGGGAAUACGUAGGUGGCAAGCGUUGUCCGGAAUUAUUGGGCGUAAAGGGCUCGCAGGCGGUUUCUUAAGUCUGAUGUGAAAGCCCCCGGCUCAACCGGGGAGGGUCAUUGGAAAUUGGGAAACUUGAGUGCAGAAGAGGAGAGUGGAAUUCCACGUGUAGCGGUGAAAUGCGUAGAGAUGUGGAGGAACACCAGUGGCGAAGGCGACUCUCUGGUCUGUAACUGACGCUGAGGAGCGAAAGCGUGGGGAGCGAACAGGAUUAGAUACCCCUGUAGUCCCUGUCUCUUAUAC
RNAcentral lists this ribosomal RNA (310 nucleotides) under uncultured bacterium. RNAcentral describes it as "partial 16S ribosomal RNA". It matches the Rfam family "Bacterial small subunit ribosomal RNA", at positions 503 to 807 of the family's 1533-position model. The record is from RNAcentral.